ACGAACGCUGGCGGCGUGCCUAAUACCUGCAAGUCGAGCGAGCGGAACUAACAGAUUUACUUCGGUAAUGACGUUAGGAACGCGAGCGGCGGAUGGGUGAGUAACACGUGGGGAACCUGCCCCAUAGUCUGGGAUACCACUUGGAAACAGGUGCUAAUACCGGAUAAGAAAGCAGAUCGCAUGAUCAGCUUUUAAAAGGCGGCGUAAGCUGUCGCUAUGGGAUGGCCCCGCGGUGCAUUAGCUAGUUGGUAAGGUAAAGGCUUACCAAGGCGAUGAUGCAUAGCCGAGUUGAGAGACUGAUCGGCCACAUUGGGACUGAGACACGGCCCAAACUCCUACGGGAGGCAGCAGUAGGGAAUCUUCCACAAUGGACGCAAGUCUGAUGGAGCAACGCCGCGUGAGUGAAGAAGGUUUUCGGAUCGUAAAGCUCUGUUGUUGGUGAAGAAGGAUAGAGGUAGUAACUGGCCUUUAUUUGACGGUAAUCAACCAGAAAGUCACGGCUAACUACGUG
This 511-nucleotide ribosomal RNA is filed under the name uncultured bacterium. RNAcentral's name for it is "partial 16S ribosomal RNA". It matches the Rfam family "Bacterial small subunit ribosomal RNA", at positions 29 to 507 of the family's 1533-position model. The record is from RNAcentral.